AACGUAGGAAGCGAGCGUUAUCCGGAUUUACUGGGUGUAAAGCGCGUGUAGGCGGUUUGGCAAGUUGGAUGUGAAAGCUCCUGGCUUAACUGGGAGAGGUCGUUCAAAACUACCAGACUUGAGGAUGGGAGAGGGAGGCGGAAUUCCGGGUGUAGUGGUGAAAUGCGUAGAUAUCCGGAGGAACACCAGUGGCGAAAGCGGCCUCCUGGCCCAUAACUGACGCUCAGACGCGAAAGCUAGGGGAGCGAACGGG
This 253-nucleotide ribosomal RNA is filed under the name uncultured bacterium. Its description in RNAcentral is "partial 16S ribosomal RNA". It matches the Rfam family "Bacterial small subunit ribosomal RNA", at positions 524 to 776 of the family's 1533-position model. The record is from RNAcentral.